GACGAACGCUGGCGGCGUGCUUAACACAUGCAAGUCGAACGGAAAGGCCCUGCUUUUGUGGGGUGCUCGAGUGGCGAACGGGUGAGUAACACGUGAGUAACCUGCCCUUGACUUUGGGAUAACUUCAGGAAACUGGGGCUAAUACCGGAUAGGAGCUCCUGCUGCAUGGUGGGGGUUGGAAAGUUUCGGCGGUGUGGGAUGGACUCGCGGGUUAUCAGCUAGUUGGUGGGGUAGUGGCUUACCAAGGCAUAGACGGGUAGCCGGCAUGGGAGGGUGACCGGGCACAAGACGACUAAGGUAGGGAGAAGAGUGGAACGUGGGGCAAUGGGCGAAAGCCUGGCCCAGUAAGCGGGCGUGUGAGAAGAAGACGUUCGGUUCGGAAAGCCGGCCUGCGGGGUAUGAACAGCUUUCGCCUAAGACGAAGCGUGAGUGACGGUACUGGGUGAAGAAGCACCGGCUAACUACGUG
This 468-nucleotide ribosomal RNA is filed under the name uncultured bacterium. RNAcentral's name for it is "partial 16S ribosomal RNA". It matches the Rfam family "Bacterial small subunit ribosomal RNA", at positions 28 to 507 of the family's 1533-position model. The record is from RNAcentral.